Molecule: long non-coding RNA, 751 nt
Filed under: Ananas comosus (pineapple)
Lineage: Eukaryota; Viridiplantae; Streptophyta; Magnoliopsida; Poales; Bromeliaceae
Description: long non-coding RNA (ACOM_LNC029706)
Source: RNAcentral
UAUAUUAUUUGGAUACAUGAAUAUUUUGUUCGGUAUGUCUCUUUGAUUUAUUGAAGAAAUUUGCAUAUUUGGUUUAUAAGGGGUAUGAUCAAAUGUUUACAAUAAAGUAUCAUAUUCGAACUGUAAAUUAUUUUUUAGAAUAAGAUAAUCACUUUGUAAGUGAAAUAUGAUAUAUCCUACCAAAUCAUGAAAAAUAAAAUCUUUGAAGAUGCAAAAAAAGUAAAUUAAACUUCUUACUUAUCAUGAUAUUAGGAAAUUCUUAUAUGAAAUAAGAUAAUUUAUUCUGCCAUCCAAACAUGACCUAAUUGGACCCAGGAAAUAAGAAAAUUGUACUUAUUCUUGAAAUAAGCAGUUCUUAGUUCGUUUGGCACAAUUUAUUUUGUCAUCCAAACGUAAAAAAAGAAUAAGUAAGAACUGCUUGCUUAAUGAAAAUUGGAUUGCUCCCGGGAAUAAGAAAAAUAACUUUUGUAUAAAAAUUGGAUUGUUUCAGAAAAUAAGAAAAAUGACGUUUGAAUAGAUAAGAUGGAAUAAGAAAAAUAGUGGGUAGUUAUAAAUAAAAAAAAAUGAUGAUAUUACUCCUCUCAUUAAAUUUGAAUUUGAAUUUUUAAAUUUAUAUUUUAAUUUUCAAAUUUUAAUUUUUAAUUUUUAAAUUUCAAUAUUUAAAUUUAAAAUAUAAAAUUUAAAAUCUCAAAUUUUAAAAUUUUAAAAUUUAAAUUUCAAUAUUUAAAUUUAAAAUAUAAAAUUUAAAAUC